RNAcentral lists this ribosomal RNA (474 nucleotides) under uncultured bacterium. RNAcentral describes it as "bacterial SSU rRNA". It matches the Rfam family "Bacterial small subunit ribosomal RNA", at positions 26 to 518 of the family's 1533-position model. The record is from RNAcentral.
GCUAGGACGAACGCUGGCGGCGUGCUUCAUACAUGCAAGUCGAACGAGAAAUUACCUUCGGGUAAUGGAAAGUGGCGGACGGGUGAGUAAUGUGUAGAGAAUCUGCCCUAGAGAGGGGGACAACCGUUGGAAACGACAGCUAAUACCCCAUAUGAGCGUAACUGAAAUGUUAUUCUUGAAAACUCCGGUGCUCUAGGAUGAGUCUGCAUCUGAUUAGCUAGUUGGGGGUGUAAUGGACCACCAAGGCGACGAUCAGUAGCUGAUUUGAGAGGAUGAUCAGCCACAAUGGGACUGAGACACGGCCCAUACUCCUACGGGAGGCAGCAGUAGGGAAUUUUGCGCAAUGGGCGAAAGCCUGACGCCAGCAACGCCGCGUGAUCGAGACGCUUUUCGGAGUGUAAAGAUCUGUCACAGGGGACGAACGAUGACGGUACCCUGAGAGGAAGCACCGGCUAACUCCGUGCCAGCCGCUGC